GAUGAAGAACGCAGCGAAAUGCGAUACGUAAUGUGAAUUGCAAAUUCAGUGAAUCAUCGAGUCUUUGAACGCACAUUGCGCCCCCUGGUAUUCCGGGGGGCAUGCCUGUCCGAGCGUCAUUGCUGCCCUCAAGCACGGCUUGUGUGUUGGGCCCCGUCCUCCGAUUCCGGGGGACGGGCCCGAAAGGCAGCGGCGGCACCGGGUCCGGUCCUCGAGCGUAUGGGGCUUUGUCACCCGCUCUGUAGGCCCGGCCGGCGCUUGCCGAUCAACCCAAAUUUUUAUCCAGGUUGACCUCGGAUCAGGUAGGGAUACCCGCUGAACUUAAGCAUAUCAAUAAGCGGAGGA
RNAcentral lists this unclassified non-coding RNA (345 nucleotides) under soil metagenome. RNAcentral's name for it is "partial contains 5.8S ribosomal RNA, internal transcribed spacer 2, and large subunit ribosomal RNA". The stretch from base 1 to 119 matches the Rfam family "5.8S ribosomal RNA", at positions 35 to 154 of the family's 154-position model. The record is from RNAcentral.